Molecule: unclassified non-coding RNA, 264 nt
Filed under: Hevea brasiliensis (rubber tree)
Lineage: Eukaryota; Viridiplantae; Streptophyta; Magnoliopsida; Malpighiales; Euphorbiaceae
Source: RNAcentral
AGACACAGCGGAGAAGCAGAUCGUGGCUGUGGUGAUGGCAGCUAAGAAUAAGGUUAAGAAGAAGAUGGCGGAGGAGAGAGAAAGGGAAGCUGCUCUCACGGGUAAUGAGAGCAAGACGCUGAAGGAGGAGAAUAAGGCCGAGGUCAAAGAAGAGAAGAAGGUUGAGCUCGAAAAGGAGAUAAAGACCAAAGUCAAGGAGGAGCCGAUGGAGAUCGAGGAGGAAAGUGGCGGCAGAGUUCCAAACAAAGGUAAUGGCCUUGAUCU